AUACGGAGGGUGCAAGCGUUAUUCGGAAUUACUGGGCUUAAAGGGCGCGUAGGCGGCCCCUUAAGUCGGAUGUGAAAGCCCGGGGCCUAACCCCGGAAGUGCAUUCGAUACUGGGAGGCUUGAGUAUGGGAGAGGGAAGUGGAAUUCCUGGUGUAGAGGUGAAAUUCGUAGAUAUCAGGAGGAACACCUGUGGCGAAGGCGACUUCCUGGACCAAUACUGACGCUGAGGCGCGAAGGCGUGGGGAGCAAACAGGAUUAGAUACCCUGGUAGUCCACGCAGUAAACGGUGAUCACUAGGUGUAGCGGGUAUUGACCCCUGCUGUGCCGCAGCUAACGCAUUAAGUGAUCCGCCUGGGGAGUACGGCCGCAAGGUUAAA
RNAcentral lists this ribosomal RNA (377 nucleotides) under uncultured bacterium. Its description in RNAcentral is "bacterial SSU rRNA". It matches the Rfam family "Bacterial small subunit ribosomal RNA", at positions 523 to 898 of the family's 1533-position model. The record is from RNAcentral.